GGUUAUCAGGUGCGGCGGGUCUCGCAAAGCAAGCGAUUACAUCCAUCGUGCUGCACUGCGGGGCUUGCUUCUGAGUAUAUCGAAAAAAUGAAAUUAAAAUUCUCAAGGCAUUAUGCAUCAAAAGACUGUCUUCUUGGAACUAUUUUAUCAAUGGAUAGAUAAUAAAGCAUGAAGAUGAAAUAUUAUAUAUGAAAUGAAAUUUGGAUAAAAUGUUUAAGCACUUGUUUUUUUCUGAUAGAGGUAAGAAUAUCUGUCAUAUAAUGAGAGUUUGAAAAUUUUGAGAGCACGAAAUGAUUUUCACCGAUUGAAAUACUGUCUGUAAGCCUUUGGAAAGUUGAUGUUUUUAUGUUGUUUUUGUUUAAAAAAUAAAAAACCUUUUGGGGGAAAAAAA
Non-coding RNA from Pantherophis guttatus, 391 nucleotides. The record is from RefSeq and is a predicted model, not a curated record. NCBI's taxonomy places the organism in Eukaryota, Metazoa, Chordata, Lepidosauria, Squamata, Colubridae.